This 252-nucleotide ribosomal RNA is filed under the name uncultured bacterium. RNAcentral describes it as "partial 16S ribosomal RNA". It matches the Rfam family "Bacterial small subunit ribosomal RNA", at positions 524 to 776 of the family's 1533-position model. The record is from RNAcentral.
UACGUAGGUCCCGAGCGUUGUCCGGAUUUAUUGGGCGUAAAGCGAGCGCAGGUGGUUUAUUAAGUCUGGUGUAAAAGGCAGUGGCUCAACCAUUGUAUGCAUUGGAGACUGGUAGACUUGAGUGCAGGAGAGGAGAGUGGAAUUCCAUGUGUAGCGGUGAAAUGCGUAGAUAUAUGGAGGAACACCGGUGGCGAAAGCGGCUCUCUGGCCUGUAACUGACACUGAGGCUCGAAAGCGUGGGGAACAAACAGG